UACGAAGGGGGCUAGCGUUGUUCGGAAUUACUGGGCGUAAAGCGCACGCAGGCGGCGAUCCAAGUCAGGAGUGAAAGCCCUGGGCUCAACCCGGGAAUUGCUCUUGAUACUGGAUUGCUGGAAUCACGGAGAGGACAGUGGAAUUCCGAGUGUAGAGGUGAAAUUCGUAGAUAUUCGGAAGAACACCAGUGGCGAAGGCGACUGUCUGGCCGUCGAUUGACGCUCAUGUGCGAAAGCGUGGGGAGCAAACAGG
This 253-nucleotide ribosomal RNA is filed under the name uncultured bacterium. RNAcentral describes it as "partial 16S ribosomal RNA". It matches the Rfam family "Bacterial small subunit ribosomal RNA", at positions 524 to 776 of the family's 1533-position model. The record is from RNAcentral.